AUCCACCUGACGAGUCCCAAACAGGACGAAAUGCGCCUUCUGGGU
RNAcentral lists this non-coding RNA (45 nucleotides) under Trichobilharzia regenti. Lineage: Eukaryota; Metazoa; Platyhelminthes; Trematoda; Strigeidida; Schistosomatidae. The record is from RNAcentral.